AAGGCAGUUCACUUCAGCAGUGUGAGCGUCAACUGAGUGGCUUGGUUUGGAAGUAUUGUUUGAACAAGUAUCCCAAAUCAUAAGUUUCUGAUGAUCAGCAACUGACCCAAACAGAGACUUAUGGAACAGAUGCCAGGAAACAUCUUCUACUACUACUGUAUGCCCUGUAAAGAUGGUCUUUGCAUCCACCACAUUUCCCUCCUUUGGAACAGCACUGAUGUCCCACGGGUAGAUGGUGUGAUCAUCUGAAGCACUAAAUAAUUUCUUCUCAUCCUUCAAGAUUUAACAUAUUGGAUAAUAUACAAAAGCUAAUGUUGUUCCUGAAUUAAUAAUCCUCUUAAACAAUAAGCUUAAAAGGAAACAUGCAGGAUUUAACCUUUCUAAGAGAUAGGAAAGAAAAUGUGAAUAAAUGGAGAAACAUAUUGUGAUCAGGAUUGGAAAAAUUGACUGCAAUAAAGAUGUGAAAUAUC
Molecule: long non-coding RNA, 470 nt
Filed under: Homo sapiens (human)
Lineage: Eukaryota; Metazoa; Chordata; Mammalia; Primates; Hominidae
Description: non-protein coding lnc-ARL13B-1:1
Source: RNAcentral